Ctenocephalides felis (cat flea) is the source of this 808-nucleotide long non-coding RNA. RefSeq lists it as uncharacterized. Lineage: Eukaryota; Metazoa; Arthropoda; Insecta; Siphonaptera; Pulicidae. The record is from RefSeq and is a predicted model, not a curated record. The transcript has 3 exons.
CUGAAAGUGUAGCGACUUAGCGCGAAAUUUAAAGCAAAUAGUCUUAAUUGAAUAAUUUUUAUUUUAAAGUUUAAUUUAUAUUGUAUGUGUCAAUGAAUAGGGAAACUUUGGGAUUUCUUAGAACCAAUUACAACCCCUGUUUGUCUAAAAGUCAAUGCACCCGCCGAAAACACUGUAAAGGAAACACAGGCAACCACCUCGAAAUCUACGUCCUCACACACAUCCAGCACGUUCCAUAGCUUGAUAAAUUCUGAAAAACGGUCUGAAAUUUAACUAACGACGACCCGGAUACCUGAAUUGAUUUAGACAGCACUGGUACAUAAUAAAUCGUGAUAAAAUUAAUUCAAAGUAGCACCCAAAAACCACCGAACUUUGCACGAAAUUACGUUUUGUUCUCAAAAAAGAAAAAGGAAAUAAAUCAAGAUGGUCCAAGGCGAGAAAUACCUGGCAACCAAGUCCUUGUCUAUUGACAACUCUCACAAGAAGAGUGGAUUCGACGCUGUGCAAAAACGCGAGGAGGAGAAAAGGCAGCAGGCCAGGAAGGAGCAGGAGCAGAAAGCUAAAUAUGGAGCCUGGGGUCCUGUUUUCAAAGACAGGGAAACUUUUGCCAGCAUGCACUUCUGUUGAAAACAUAAAAUUUUAUAUGGAAUAAUAAAUUUGUUUUAUAAAAUACUAGCAUACUAACAAAAGGACUAACAUGAUACUACCUUGGACCUAAAUACAAUACUCAUAUAAAUUGGAACAAAACAGAGAUGGCAACGCUUUAAUGUACUAAUAAUAACUAAUAUCUAAUAAAUUAUCCUUUAAU